ACCCCUGCAAGUAGACAACCAACUUUCCAUUUCAUUUGGAAGGCCUCCGAAAAUACCUCCUCGGGUUGCUAGCAGAUUGUUGAACACUGACCACUUCCAUCCACCACCUGUUCCUCCAAGAGGUCGUGAUAAGUUAGACUAAAUCUUUGGGAUAUUAAAACUAAAACAUGAGGAAACAGAACUUUUAUUCUUCAGAAUGACUUUUGAAUGGUUAUGCUGUAACUCUAAUCAGCAUAUCAGUUCACUCCUGUCAAUCUCAGAUGAUCAAUUCUGGUAGAAUUUACUCUAAAAAUUGCCAAGGGUAAAUGAACAAAUUAAGCAUUUAGAACAAAUAAACUGUUAGAUUAUGAAGAAAUGAUAUGUUGAACUUAUUAGAAUUCUUAGAUUCUAAUUACACCAAACUAAAGGUGUCUCAAUCAUUUCUCACAUAUUCCUAAACUUUAGAAGGGAGUAGCUACCAGCAAAUAUUUGUUGUCUGUUUAUCUGCAAAUAAAGUAGCUAUGAUGCUGCCCUGAAAACAAAUUUAUUCUGUUGCAGAUAGCGAAACUAGAGUGCCUUGUAUUGAGCAGUGCAAUUCAUUUGAAACUUGUCUAAUUUCUAAUGAUUUUAUGAUAAUUUCCUAUUCAGAAUUGUCUGAUGCCUCUGGUUGCUGUUCCAGUAAUACAAUACUGAGAAAUUGAGGAUAUCAUAUCUUAAAUCAAACAGUCUCCAUUGUCAUCUAUAUGAGUCUUGAAUCUGUAUUAUUUCUGUGGGAAUAUGCCAAGAAGUACUUAGCAGACCAUGAAUGUAAAGAAACUCGGUUCUUAUUUCUGUACUUCAAUAAAAAUUGCGCACCAAU
Long non-coding RNA from Protobothrops mucrosquamatus (brown spotted pit viper), 838 nucleotides. RefSeq lists it as uncharacterized. NCBI's taxonomy places the organism in Eukaryota, Metazoa, Chordata, Lepidosauria, Squamata, Viperidae. The transcript has 2 exons. The record is from RefSeq and is a predicted model, not a curated record.